GUUAUAGGGACAAGUGAAUAAGUGCACAUGGCGGAUGCCUUGGCGAUUACAGGCGAUGAAGGACGUAGAAGUCUGCGAUAAGCUUCGGGGAGCUGACAAACAAGCUUUGAUCCGAAGAUUUCCGAAUGGGGAAACCCGGCCUUUUAGGUCAUCGUACACUGAAUACAUAGGUGUACGAAGCGAACGCGGCGAACUGAAACAUCUAAGUAGCUGCAGGAAAAGAAAUCAACCGAGAUUCCCAAAGUAGUGGCGAGCGAAAUGGGAAGAGCCUGCACGUGAUAGUCGGACUGAUAGUGGAAUGCUCUGGAAAUGGCAGCCAUAGCGGGUGAUAGCCCCGUACACGAAAUCAGACCGGUGGUACUAAGCGUGCGACAAGUAGGGCGGGACACGAGAAAUCCUGUCUGAAGAUGGGGGGACCAUCCUCCAAGGCUAAAUACUCGUAAUCGACCGAUAGUGAACCAGUACCGUGAGGGAAAGGCGAAAAGAACCCCGGGAGGGGAGUGAAAUAGAUCCUGAAACCGUGUGCAUACAAACAGUAGGAGCCUCCUUGUGGGGUGACUGCGUACCUUUUGUAUAAUGGGUCAGCGACUUACAUUCAGUGGCGAGGUUAACCAAAUAGGGGAGCCGUAGAGAAAUCGAGUCCGAA
This 646-nucleotide ribosomal RNA is filed under the name Massilia sp. BJB1822. Its description in RNAcentral is "partial 23S ribosomal RNA". It matches the Rfam family "Bacterial large subunit ribosomal RNA", at positions 1 to 687 of the family's 2925-position model. The record is from RNAcentral. Lineage: Bacteria; Pseudomonadati; Pseudomonadota; Betaproteobacteria; Burkholderiales; Oxalobacteraceae.